AAAGUCGUAACAAGGUUUCCGUAGGUGAACCUGCGGAAGGAUCAUUACCUGGCCUUGGGCCGCUCGCGGGAGCUAGUCGCUUGCGACGACGCUGCUGACGGCGCUUAGCCCUUGACUAUCCCCUUGACUACGUGCACCUUUUGUUGUUUCCUCGGCAGGGUAUCUGCCGCUAGGAACCCCCUAAACCUUUUUGCAAUAGCAUCCAAACUACUGAAAACAAACCAAAUUAUUUACAACUUUUAACAAUGGAUCUCUUGGUUCUG
RNAcentral lists this unclassified non-coding RNA (263 nucleotides) under Ascomycota sp. RNAcentral's name for it is "partial contains small subunit ribosomal RNA, internal transcribed spacer 1, and 5.8S ribosomal RNA". The stretch from base 1 to 47 matches the Rfam family "Eukaryotic small subunit ribosomal RNA", at positions 1785 to 1831 of the family's 1831-position model. The record is from RNAcentral. Lineage: Eukaryota; Fungi; Ascomycota.